GAUGAAGAACGCAGCGAAAUGCGAUAAGUAAUGUGAAUUGCAGAAUUCAGUGAACCAUCGAAUCUUUGAACGCACAUUGCGCCCGGCAGUAAUCUGCCGGGCAUGCCUGUCCGAGCGUCAUUUCUGCCCUCGAGCGAGUCCAGCAUCUAGGUGCUGGGCCCGCCCGGCGUUGGGGCACUACGGGAAGCCCUGUGCUGUCCCCCGUAGGCCCCGAAAUGAAGUGGCGGUCCUGCCGCGGCGCCCCAUGCGUAGUAUAACAGCUCGCUUCGGGACCCGGUGGAGGCCUGCCGUCAAACCUUACUCUCUAAGUUUGACCUCGGAUCAGGUAGGGUUACCCGCUGAACUUAAGCAUAUCAAUAAGCGGAGGA
RNAcentral lists this unclassified non-coding RNA (368 nucleotides) under soil metagenome. RNAcentral's name for it is "partial contains 5.8S ribosomal RNA, internal transcribed spacer 2, and large subunit ribosomal RNA". The stretch from base 1 to 120 matches the Rfam family "5.8S ribosomal RNA", at positions 35 to 154 of the family's 154-position model. The record is from RNAcentral.